UUGUGAGGGAUAUCUUUUGUAGCAGCCAUUUCUUGGUUGGAUAGGGUUUGAAGUUUAUGUUCGACGACGUCACUUUUCGCUAGAUCUUUCGAUAGUCCAGCCACUGCACCUUGUAAAAAUGAGGGGCCUGUUUCAGAUACACCGGCCGGAAUCGAAAUUCUGGCUCGGUAAGCCGGGAUAAAGAGUUGUAUUCACUCGGAUUGAACUCCGAGAUGCAACGGAAGCCUUCAGUUGGGACUUGUGUUUAAAGAUGGUAGGUGGCGAAGCUGAAAUAGAAGAAGCCCUAAACAGCAGCUGAUAACGGGAGGCGCAUCCCAAGAGAUUACGUUUAAAUGGUUUACGUGGGUUAUUGUGAGAUGCCAAUUACCAAAAUGAAAGCAAUAACCCGGAUGUUGCCGGGACACCGCAAAAGCUGAGAUGUUUAUGAAGACUUCUGAUGAUUCUGCGAUGUAAAGAGCUGACAGAGAAAGAAGAAGAAAGAAGAUGCGGUCCACUUUUUUAUUCUACUUCAUGCUCGAUAAAUGAAUUUGUAAUCUAUUAUUUCUGUCUAAUGUUGUCAUGGUCGGUCAGUGAAAAAAAAAUGAAUAGAGCCCAUCGAAACGAGAAUUCAGUCUGGCGAAUUAAAUAUAACUUUUAUUUUCAAGAAAAAGAUGCCAUAAAUCUGUAAUUUUUUUUUGGAGGAAAAAAUGCUGUAAUUUGUAAACGAAGUACUUUUAUCAUAUCGCUAGCUAUA
Molecule: long non-coding RNA, 733 nt
Organism: Pocillopora verrucosa
Lineage: Eukaryota; Metazoa; Cnidaria; Anthozoa; Scleractinia; Pocilloporidae
Source: RefSeq, a predicted model, not a curated record